UGUGGCUCAGUGGUAGAGCGCGCACCUAGCAUGUGCGGGGCACUGGGUUCGAUCCUCAGCA
This 61-nucleotide transfer RNA is filed under the name Ictidomys tridecemlineatus (thirteen-lined ground squirrel). Its description in RNAcentral is "Spermophilus tridecemlineatus (thirteen-lined ground squirrel) tRNA". It matches the Rfam family "tRNA", at positions 6 to 65 of the family's 71-position model. Rfam says of the family: Transfer RNA (tRNA) molecules are approximately 80 nucleotides in length. Their secondary structure includes four short double-helical elements and three loops (D, anti-codon, and T loops). Lineage: Eukaryota; Metazoa; Chordata; Mammalia; Rodentia; Sciuridae. The record is from Rfam by way of RNAcentral.